Molecule: long non-coding RNA, 744 nt
Filed under: Hordeum vulgare
Lineage: Eukaryota; Viridiplantae; Streptophyta; Magnoliopsida; Poales; Poaceae
Description: long non-coding RNA (HVUL_LNC021708)
Source: RNAcentral
CCUUAUUGGUCUUGAAUGUAGACGGAUUGUUUUACACAUCCUAAAGAUCCCAAUCCUUAUUGCAUGGAGAUAAAAUAGGAGAAUAUGCACUGUGGGCAUUAAAAGGAACAUUUCCAUACGAAGGAACUUCAUUAUUACAUAGCCAAAUCAAAUGAAAAUCAUUAUACAUAAGUGAAGUCGACAAGAGAAACUGAGUCGCCGGAAGAAGCAUGUCAUCAUAAUACAAAAGAUAUUACUUUAAUAAAGAAACAAAAAAUGGUAUGCAACCACAAAAAUUUAAAUAAACAAAACAUUUUUAGACACCAUAACAACAGCGACACCUAUAGACGGAAGGGUGCACACUCACGGUGUCCCAGCUUUCUCGUUGAGGGCAUUGGCACGUUCUAAGUACGUUUGAGCUUCAUUCUUGAGGAGGACAGCCUUUUUGGGCGGGGCAGCAGCGGCCUCCUUCAGUUUAUCGGCAGCCCACUUAACAUAUCCUAUGGCUCCGGAUUGAUAGUUGCAAAAAUGAAUGCACUUUGGGCUGCAAACCUCUAGUUCUCCCUUGCAGCGCUUGAUACAUUUGUCCCAACAGAACUCUUCGGCAGUUGCCACUGGUGUUGAUACCGCCGCUACCAUCACGUCCAGGAGGAGAACGACACCAAUUGUGUUCCCAGUAUUCACCGCCAUUCUGGACCUUGAGAUUACUUCCUCGGGGUAUGACUGGUUUAGAAGGAGGUUGUUGAUGAGGAGAUGAUCGUUUAU